Camelina sativa (false flax) is the source of this 673-nucleotide non-coding RNA. The record is from RefSeq and is a predicted model, not a curated record. Lineage: Eukaryota; Viridiplantae; Streptophyta; Magnoliopsida; Brassicales; Brassicaceae.
UAUGAUUUUAUAUGAGACAUUGUAGAGACUAAUGGGUCGGUAGUCGCUCAUCCGACUCGGUUGCUCUAUCUUAGGGAUGAGACAUAUAUGUGUUUGAUUGAGUCGAGGUAGCAUAGUACUUGUCUGAAAGAAAUUCUUGAUCUCAGUGGUGAUAUCUGUACCUAGAAUUUCCCAAAACUGAUGAUAAAAGUAUCCUGUCAUACUAUCUGGACCUGGUGCUCGAUCACCUCUGAUAGCAUAGACAGCUUGUUGUAUCUCGUCAUCAGUAGCUUCUUGAGUGAGGAGGGUAUUCAUAUCUUCCGUUACUGGUGCAGGAAUAUUAUCAAAGAAAUCCCCCCAACUGUUAUGUCCCUCUUUCUGAUACUGAUCUUGAAAAUACUCUGUGGCAAUCAGAGAUAUUUUCUCAUCUCCAACAUGUUCGACACCAUUAGAAUCAUAGACUGAAAGCAUUCUAUUCUUGGCUUUACGGGCUUUUACACUUCCAUGAAAGUAUAAGAGUUAGUAAGAUUCGAUUGCUUCCAUUUAGAGAUUUUUGAACGCAACAACUUAAUCUUCUCCGAAAACAUCAGUCCGGAUGGAAGGUCGAUGGUCUGAUUCAAUUGGUUCCAAGAAUUCAGCAGCUGAAGCAGGGAAGUAGGAGAACCACUCUGUAUUCGCAAUAACUCUGUCUAAG